UCCCCACUGCCAACUUAAAUUCCACCAUUAAUACUUUUAUGAACUCUCUAUUUGUUCUUUUUAUUUUUAUUAUAUAAAUAUUUCAUAAUCUCUCCUCCCCUUUCCUCCCAAACAAUAUUCACUAACUUGCAUAGCUCAAUCCUUUAUUUCCCCCAAAAGUUAUCGAUUGUUUCCAUAAUUCUACCACUAACAACAUCUUCUCUUCUUCUUCCUCUCUAUUUUAUCAUUAACAAAUAUGAUCAAAACUUGAAAUUACCAAGAAAUCAAAUAGUACAACUCCGUAUUUAGUUAUUUUUUGCAACUUUGUUCAUGGGUUUUGC
This 320-nucleotide long non-coding RNA is filed under the name Solanum tuberosum (potato). RNAcentral's name for it is "long non-coding RNA (STUB_LNC009597)". The record is from RNAcentral. Lineage: Eukaryota; Viridiplantae; Streptophyta; Magnoliopsida; Solanales; Solanaceae.